This is a long non-coding RNA of Mastomys coucha (southern multimammate mouse), 199 nucleotides long. RefSeq lists it as uncharacterized. The transcript is spliced from 3 exons. NCBI's taxonomy places the organism in Eukaryota, Metazoa, Chordata, Mammalia, Rodentia, Muridae. The record is from RefSeq and is a predicted model, not a curated record.
AACUAUUCUUCUACCACCCAUAGCUUAUUCAAUUUUUUGCAAGAGAGCAAUCAAUACCAACAAUGACAAGAUAGAACCUAGAGCCCUGUGCAUAUUAGGGAAGUGUUCUGCAAAUGAGUCAUGUCCCCAGAAAAAUCACAUUAUUUUAAGGUGGCAAAGGGACCAUGAGACCUGGGCAGUGAGAUGCCAUAGAAAACCC